GAAUUUCUUGAUGAGAGUUGGUUAUUAUUAGAUGGAAGAUUGAUGAGAAGAAUUGAUGAUUCAAAACAGAGGUUUUAGGAGGCUAUUUAUAAAGAAAAUCAGUCGGAUCUAUAACCAUUAUAAAACAUGCAAAAGAAUUUACUGUAGCUGGUGAAUAGUACUAUGUGGUGCUAUUACAGCCUUGCCCCUAAAAUUAAUGAAUUGCCAAUUUUGCCCCUUUACUUGCCCCUUACUCUCUCACCGACUUCCUCACCUUCUUCUCACAGACUUCCUUCUCUUUCCUCCUCAUCUCAACCCCACCAAAAUUAAGGUAUUAGUCUUAUGUUCUUCAGUAUUUUUCCAAAAAGAGGAGAUUACUUUGGAUCUUUGAUUCAACCCCACCAAAAUUAAGGAGGAAGAUGGACCCAGGUUUGGUGGAUUCGAGUUUGAGGUGAAGAUACUCGGGUUAGCAGUGCGAGGCAUGAGAUUCUUUUCGAAACAAUCCAAACCCUCACCGAUUUUACUUUCAUAUUGACUAGAGCUUAUGUUUCAGGCGAAGAUGAAUGUUUCAUGGAUGUCUUUCAUGUCAUGGAUGUGUAUGUGCAGAAAAUUCAAGGUAUUAAUAAAAAUGGGGGUUAUAGGUGACAUUCGGUAGCAGCUAUUGAGGAUGUAGAGCGCUGCUAAGUACUUAUGUGAUGUCUUUGCAAAGUUUUAUUACAGUUUCAGGGCUUCAAGUUACGGAAACGAAACUAAAUGAGGAAUUGUUGAUCUACAGGUACAAUUCUAUCUCCCCUUUCUCUUUCUUGUUCUAAUUGGUUCAAUUUUCACCUAACCUUUAAUAUGAUCAGCUUACUUGUUAUUUUUUUUCCAUAUCUUUUCAUUUUCUCCCAAUAUUUUCUCUUUUUAAUAUGCUUAUAUGCAUAUGGUGUUUGCUGCCAAAAUUUAUGCUGUCAAGUUAGAUAUUGCUGUUGUGAGUGACUAUAGAGGGUAGCUGUUGUUUCACGCUGUUGCCGCUGUUAUUCUGGUGCUGCCCUGUUACCGCUGUUCUGUUCGUCCGAAAAUCAUCGACCUGAAAUUGUUUUUAGCUCAUAGUCCCUUCAUCAAUGUUUUAGAUCUCGAAAAGUUAUUCAAUCUAGGCUCAAGAAUUUCUCGAUUUGGAAUUGUGUGCUAGGAAUUAUGCCUUCUGGAAUUUACUAUGGUCUGCUACCCUUGUUCUAUCGCAGCGGGCUGUUAUUGCUCAUUUGAUGCCUAUGUGGUGUUGUUGUGUUGAGUUGGUUGUGGUGCUAAAAUGAAUGCUUGGGCUUCUCUUAUUUAUUUUGUCUUCCCUUCUUCCUUUAUUUACACAUUAGUUAUAAAGUUAAAAUGUGGGCAAUUUUGAUUAAUGACUAUUUGGAUAAUGACUAAUUGAUAAUUUGCCAAAGUGAUGAGGGAUUAAUGUGUAUGUUAAAUUUUCAAAUGUGUGAGUGACUAAAGUUAAUUAGUUUAAAUGUAUUGAAGGUUUUAAAUGUUUAUAAAAUAGAUUUGAUGAACGAACACUAAUCUCCCCAAGUUUAUUCAUCACUCUUAAUUAACUUCUUAUUUCGUAUUACAUGAGCCUUUUGUUGUUUUUAUUAAAUGAGGUGAGAAAAUAUAUAUGUAAAGGUUUGUACAUGUGGUAUGUCUAGAUAAGGGUUGUGUUCUACUUAUAUGAAUGUAAUAACUUAUCAAGUGAGUUUGGGAAGUAUUAAGGAGUCAACAAAGAAGUCAUGUUUGAUAUGAUAGUCUCCUUAUAAUUUAUUAUUAUAUACGUGAGAGUAAUUUACACCAUACAACUAAUAACUUGAGAAUCCUUUAUCUUUUCUACUGUAAUAUUUGCAGCAAUUGCAGGUUGGUGCAAAAUAAUGCAGUGCUUGAAGUUAGUCUUGUGCUUCUAUAACAAAAAAGAAAAUUCAACUGCGUGGCCCUCCUUGAUUCCAUAUCAACUUAACUACCGAGAAAGCAGCCUGGACAUCCUUGUUAGAGUAAAGAGGUUAGUCUUUCAAAUAUAUUCACUCUUAUCUCCUAUUUUUGUAUGGCAACUAUGUGUGCCGUUUCCUGCUUAAAUUUAAUGAUGGUGAGCAGGAUCGUGAUCCUUUGUAUCUGAAGUAAUAAUUAGUUUUUAUUCAAUAGAUGUGCAAAAGUUAGAUCAUUGUUAGACCUUGCAUUUCUAUGAACCUCCAUGAGUUUGUGAGGCGAUGGAUUCUAAAAGUAUAUCAAGCUAUUCUGUUUGAGAUUAUUACAAUAUACUACUCUUCUAGACUUCUUGUUCUUGAGCACUUCAGUUAUUUUACAUCUCUGCUUGCUUACUUUAUUUUCUUGAUUGUAUUUAUUAAAAGCCUGCUAAUGGCCCAAUACUCAUUAAAGCUUAGAGAGUAGUCAUUACUUUAGGAAAAUACAACUCAUCACGAUCACCAAACAACGUAGUCAUGACCCGAAAUUGAAUAUUGUUUAUGUCAUUUGUCAUUUAUGACUUUAUCGAUCCUAUAACACAUAAUGUGUGCUACAAAACUGACAGAAGUUUCUGAAGUGCACAUAAGGAAAUAGAUGACUUAAUGUUCCGAAGAUUUCUCUUACUUGUAAUCUUGUGAAGAAGACGGGUUCCAUGUUCUUAAAGUAUUUGAAAAGGAGGCAGACUUUUCUGCCUAAAGUUUGUCGUAAGAUAAGAGAAACAUUAUGACCUUUCCCAUAACAAAGUUAAUCUAGGAGGCAUAGAUAAAAAAAACAAAAGGACACCCUACUAUGAUUGCAUGAUUGCGUUCGCAGGUGGGCAUUACCUAAAUUCCAAAUCUGGUCGGAGGUCUUGAUGAGUUUAAGCGUACGUCUCUUCCUGUUUCUUUGAUUAUUUAGAUUGCUCACUUAUACUUCAGUUGCAACUAUCUACAUCAAUGUUUCUGCUAUUCAUACUUGUUUUGUGUGUUUUUAUACAGGUCUUGUAUAAAAUCUUGAUGAUCUGUGAGCAAUAAUGUACCCCUCGAAUCUGUCAGCUAGCCCUGAUACAACAACUGAGUUGUAAUAACUCUAAAGUUGCUGUAGUUCUCACUCGCUCGCUCUGCUUUGUUGAGUUCCAGGGGGAAAAGAAGAGAAGAUCGAGAGGAAGACAAUCUCAGAGAAGUUCUCAAUCACUCUGCUCAAAUGCUUUUGGAGCUCCGAACCUCAUAAUAAGUAUCUCUCUUACUAAAUUGUUGCUUCUUCGUGUUUCUUCUGCACAUCCUGUAUGCCUUGUUCUUGAGUAGGCUUGGGAUGAAGGCAUCAUUGGCAUUCCAGAAUAAUGGUGCUGAAUGAAUAGUGGGUUCUAUGAAUUGUUUUUGGGUUUAUUUCUUUAGAUAUACUGCUUUGGUUAAUUAUUUGGUGGUUACAAAUAUCUCUUAAUAUGGGUGACAUUCAGAAUGAUCCUCUUUCAGAAGAGGAAACUACUUGUAGGUUUCUUUUGUAUGAACUUCAGAUAAUUUUGGGAUGAAGUGAGCAAGCCUGAAAUAUUAGGGCCAAGAUGUUACUUGUAGGAGUGGAGCACGUGCUUAAAGGCGCCAAGAAGACAAGGAUACAACCAGAUGAAGCAUGUGUGAGAUGGUGAUAGUGUUAUAGGUUGAGGUUAUGGGAUUUAAUUUCAUUUGUAGUACGAGUAGUAUUUAAUUUAUAUUUUUAAACGGUAGAAAUGGGUAGAAUUAGAUACGUAAAUGAUGAAGUAAUGCAAGAGCAUAUAAGUGAAUAUAUGAGCAUAAUGUGUACUUAUUUUCAACUUCAAUAUGUGUAUUGUGAUUUUAGUAGAGAAAUUAUAUCUUUGUUCUUGAGGCUAGGUAUCAAGUUGGUGCUUUUUUUUUUUUUUUUUUUUUUUUAUUUAUUUAUUUAUUUUGAGAAAAAGAGGUUAAUAUCAAGUUGAUUAAUAAUACAUUUAAUACAAAAGAAAAAAAUAAAAAAUAAAUAAACACAAAUUUAUAAGGUAUAAUGAGAUAGUUUGCGUAGAAAUUCAAGUUGAUUGUAGUAGUUAGUAGAAAUUAUAUCUUUGUAUACCUAUUUGAUUUAAAAUCAACUAAGUUUUAAGAUUUAUAAGGUAUUGAGAUACUUUAUGUAGAAAUUCAAAUUGAUUAGUUAAUACUACAUUUUAAACAAAAAAUCAACAUCUUUCUCUUUAUUAUGUGAGGAAUAAAUGUUCAAAAGAUUCAUUGUAUUAAAGGACGGAGGGAGUAAUAUAUUUUUUUAAGAAUCUUUAAAUUAUAGCAAAUUCUAGAUAACUAAACUUAUAACAAUUGUUUUUCAUACAUAUUUCCCUAUAGACACUUAUAAAUCCAUGUAUCCUUGCUAUUACAAAACCCGAACACAACCACGAAUAUCACAACAACCGAACACAACCACGAAUUUUACUUAUCUUGCCGUCGGGGGGGCACGCGCAACGUGCGUGCUCCAACGACUAGUCUUUGUAAAAUACGGUAUGCAUUAUUUCAUUCAACUUAGCUUAGACUUUUGUCAAGAGUUCUCACUUGUUAAGUUGUUAUGCUUUUUAGGGUGCAACUGCGAUGGUCAACGACAUUAUGCUUCUUGAUAUGCGCCUUUUUUCCGGGGAGGACAAUCAUGCUUGACUUUUUUAUUCCAGUCCUUGCCAUGCUAUUGAUUUCAGUGGACACCUUUAAAAGCGGACUUAUACAUAUGCUGCUAACUAAGCUCUGCGCUCAGCCACAUUGGCUUCGACCAUAUUUUAUACAACAUGAUUGGUCUCUUCUUCUUUAGCAGUCGGGUGACAGUGAUGGCUCUGUAUUCUUGUUAACAUCAUUGCCUCUUUUAGAAAGUUCUGAAGUGAUCACGCUUAAUUUAAUGCAUAUGCUCUUACUACAGGCAGCUCGUCUUGGUCAGCACCUCAGCAUUCAUCCACAUAUAACUGUCUUCCUUUUGUUCUAUAUUGAAACAUGGUUGCUUCUUACAUGUUGCACUGAAAUGGUAUUUUCAGGGAAAUCGUUCUCAGACUCAGGCUUUUUAGUAAACUAUGUUAUCGCAAUUUCUAUUAUUUUCGUGGCCAAAGAAGAAUAGGCAGUAUGACCGUUCCUAAAAUCUUAUGGUCUCAAUGUUAUUUUAA
Chenopodium quinoa (quinoa) is the source of this 5062-nucleotide long non-coding RNA. RefSeq lists it as uncharacterized. The record is from RefSeq and is a predicted model, not a curated record. NCBI's taxonomy places the organism in Eukaryota, Viridiplantae, Streptophyta, Magnoliopsida, Caryophyllales, Amaranthaceae. The transcript is spliced from 11 exons.